This 220-nucleotide long non-coding RNA is filed under the name Hordeum vulgare. RNAcentral's name for it is "long non-coding RNA (HVUL_LNC000800)". The record is from RNAcentral. Lineage: Eukaryota; Viridiplantae; Streptophyta; Magnoliopsida; Poales; Poaceae.
UCUUCUCCUUCUUCUUCUCCUCCUCCUCCUUCUCCUUCUCCUUCUCCUCCUCCUCCUCCUUCUUCUUCUUCUUCUUCUUUUUCUUCUCCUUCUAUUCUUCUUUCUUCUUCUCUUUCUUCUUCUACAUAGCUUAUUUUCCCCCAACAAAUACAUACUUAGCUAAUUAUCCUCCAAAAUGACAUAAUUAGCUUAGUUAAGUAAAAACAUCAUAAGAACCUUG